Molecule: unclassified non-coding RNA, 224 nt
Filed under: uncultured fungus
Lineage: Eukaryota; Fungi
Description: sequence contains ITS1, 5.8S rRNA gene
Rfam family: 5.8S ribosomal RNA (bases 176-224)
Source: RNAcentral
UCUCCGUAGGUGAACCUGCGGAGGGAUCAUUACCGAGUGAGGGCCUCCGGGUCCGACCUCCAACCCUUUGUGAACACAUCCCGUUGCUUCGGGGGCGACCCUGCCGGGCGCCCCCGGAGGACCAAUCCAAAACACUGCAUUACCUGCGUCGGAGUUUACGAGUAAAUCGAAACAAAACUUUCAACAACGGAUCUCUUGGUUCUGGCAUCGAUGAAGAACGCAGC